AUACGUAGGGAGCGAGCGUUGUCCGGAUUUACUGGGUGUAAAGGGUGCGUAGGCGGCUUUUUAAGUCAGGUGUGAAAACCGUGGGCUUAACUCACGGAUUGCAUUUGAAACUGAGGGGCUUGAGUGGAGCAGAGGCAGGCGGAAUUCCCGGUGUAGCGGUGAAAUGCGUAGAGAUCGGGAGGAACACCAGUGGCGAAGGCGGCCUGCUGGGCUUUAACUGACGCUGAGGCACGAAAGCAUGGGUAGCAAACAGGAUUAGAUACCCUGGUAGUCCAUGCCGUAAACGAUGAUUACUAGGUGUGGGUGGUCUGACCCCAUCCGUGCCGGAGUUAACACAAUAAGUAAUCCACCUGGGAAGUACGACCGCAAGGUUGAA
This 376-nucleotide ribosomal RNA is filed under the name uncultured bacterium. Its description in RNAcentral is "bacterial SSU rRNA". It matches the Rfam family "Bacterial small subunit ribosomal RNA", at positions 523 to 898 of the family's 1533-position model. The record is from RNAcentral.